This 301-nucleotide ribosomal RNA is filed under the name uncultured bacterium. RNAcentral describes it as "partial 16S ribosomal RNA". It matches the Rfam family "Bacterial small subunit ribosomal RNA", at positions 509 to 807 of the family's 1533-position model. The record is from RNAcentral.
CAGUCGCCGCGGGAAUACAGAGGGUGCGAGCGUUACUCGGAAUUACUGGGCGUAAAGCGUGCGUAGGUGGUGGUUUAAGUCCGUUGUGAAAGCCCUGGGCUCAACCUGGGAAUUGCAGUGGAUACUGGGUCACUAGAGUGUGGUAGAGGAUAGUGGAAUUUCCGGUGUAGCAGUGAAAUGCGUAGAGAUCGGAAGGAACAUCUGUGGCGAAGGCGACUAUCUGGGCCAACACUGACACUGAGGCACGAAAGCGUGGGGAGCAAACAGGAUUAGAUACCCGUGUAGUCCCUGUCUCUUAUAC